This 401-nucleotide ribosomal RNA is filed under the name uncultured bacterium. RNAcentral's name for it is "bacterial SSU rRNA". It matches the Rfam family "Bacterial small subunit ribosomal RNA", at positions 355 to 773 of the family's 1533-position model. The record is from RNAcentral.
UGGGGAAUAUUGGACAAUGGGGGCAACCCUGAUCCAGCAAUGCCGCGUGAGUGAUGAAGGCCUUCGGGUUGUAAAGCUCUUUUGCCAGGGACGAUAAUGACGGUACCUGGAGAAUAAGCCCCGGCUAACUUCGUGCCAGCAGCCGCGGUAAUACGAAGGGGGCUAGCGUUGUUCGGAAUUACUGGGCGUAAAGGGCGCGUAGGCGGUCUGAUAAGUUAGGUGUGAAAUUCCCGGGCUUAACCUGGGCGCUGCACUUAAUACUGUUGGGCUUGAAUUCGGGAGAGGAUAGUGGAAUUCCCAGUGUAGAGGUGAAAUUCGUAGAUAUUGGGAAGAACACCAGUGGCGAAGGCGACUAUCUGGACCGACAUUGACGCUGAGGCGCGAAAGCGUGGGGAGCAAAC